AGUCUGCGGCCGCUGCUCCGGCACCACAGCCAGGGUGCAACCCUGCAGCGUGGGUGGGGUGAGGACCCCAGGCAGAGCCACGGUGGGCACCCAGCGGCCGAGCAGAGGUGUGGGAUGUGGGCAGCGUCUGCCCCACGUGCAGCCUGAGCCUCAUUUCCCAGGGACACUUUUCCUGCAGCAUCUCUUUACCGACCGCCCUGCACUUUCUGCUGGUUUGUUGGUGACUCCGCGCGUUGCUGCGCCGUGCGAACAGCCCUGAUGUGGCAGAGGACACCUCAACGUGCACAGCAGCAAAAGUGUGCACACUCAGGCACACUGCGUGAGGAAACGACACUGAGCCAACUACCGGAGCAGUAACACUUCGUAUGGGAAAGUGUAAACCGAGCCAGGGGUCUGCUGGGGGAACGCUGCUCUGCGACGCUAAGGAGGAAACACAAACCCGAAACCCAACACCACCAACCCAUGUAGGUAACCAACCAACUACCAACGCGCAGAGCCAGCAAACGUGAAUUUGGGGACCUGGAAAUACACUCUGGUGGUGUCAGAGGACCGGUGCCCUCACAGAGCUUUUCCACACGCGCGCUUUCCUUCUGUGUUCUCUGCAAUGUGCUCAGCUGCUGAACGCUGCACUCUAGAGUUGCUUUAAAAGCACAUGGUGGGACACAGAGGACCGUCCCGAGCCCCCGCUCAGCCCCAUGUGUAUGCACAGCCCUGCAGCUCUGGCUGCUCUUUGCAAGGCUGCCAUACACGCCGUCCUCAUAAAAACAAAAUCUUGAAAAUUCCUAAUGUGGAAGGUGAUUAAAAUUCCUAUAAAAUUGUCAUAUCUUUAAAUUUAGAAGCACGGCAGAUUUUUCAUCAAUAAUUAAGAUCUCUAAAGCAUUUAUGCUAGGCAUAAAUGGAGUUUCAAUCUUCCUUAUUCAAAUAAACAUGAUAAACCCAUUAACCA
This is a long non-coding RNA of Gallus gallus (chicken), 946 nucleotides long. RefSeq lists it as uncharacterized. NCBI's taxonomy places the organism in Eukaryota, Metazoa, Chordata, Aves, Galliformes, Phasianidae. The record is from RefSeq and is a predicted model, not a curated record. The transcript is spliced from 3 exons.